CCUCCUAAGAAGAAAUCUACAAAAACCUCUCUCGCAAUAGUUGCGCGCUGACGGCGGAAGAAAAAGGAUGUUUUUGCUCGACUCCAAGUUUUUUGCCAUAGGGAUACGAAGACAGCCAAUGGAAGAAUCGCGCUCAGGGAUGAGAACAAUGGCGGAAUUUGAACGGAUGGAUAUAAACGCGCAUAUAUAUUUGAAAUACAAACACAAAAAA
Molecule: long non-coding RNA, 211 nt
Filed under: Polistes dominula (European paper wasp)
Lineage: Eukaryota; Metazoa; Arthropoda; Insecta; Hymenoptera; Vespidae
Description: uncharacterized LOC107068257, transcript variant X2
Source: RNAcentral